GCCAUUUCGCUUUCCCUUCCAGCUCCUUCAAUCGCUGAAAGCCAAAGGACCAAUGGAGGAAACCCAGCAUGUCUUUUCUUAGUAAGACUAACACAGAAAAUGGGUCGGAUUUCUAGCGUAUAUCCAGAAGAAUGGCUCUUCAGAGGCUGAACUCUGCAACCCUUAAAGGCAAUGGCUAUGUUAAGCAGCCCCUAAGGAUGGCGAGAGAUCACCUUCGUUUUAAAAGCACCUCUACAGAGAAUGUCAAAGCAAGCUAAAGGGAAGCAGCUGUUACUGUUCUCCCCCUGUUGUAGGGUGCAUCUAGCCCCACGGUAAGCCAGAACUGCCUGACGCCACUGAGGUGAUCUGCUGAUGCACAGCGUGGAGUUGCAUCUGUCAGGCUGUUCCUGGUACCCUGGUUGCUUUGUGCCCUGCUCCCCAGGGGCUGCAGAAAGUGAUUCCUCUGUCUGGGAAGGAGCAAGCCUUAUCCUCAUCCUUGUUCAUCUCUACCUGGGAAAGGCUUCUGUUUCAAUGAACUUUUCUUGACAAAAACAAAAGAAAAACAUGCUAUCAGAACUGGUCAGAAACUUUGCAAGUUUGCUGCGUACAUGUCUGUCCGUACUACUGUUUUUCCAUGUCUGUGCUGGUGUGAACUAAUAGAUUGUAAUAAGUAUAAAUCAGUACAUGCUUACAUUUCUUGUACGUCUUCAAACAGUCUGUCCCCUAACUCAAACAUGUAAAAGAGAAUAAAUAUCAGGCUCUGACUUAAUGGACUGUGUGG
This 760-nucleotide long non-coding RNA is filed under the name Apteryx owenii (little spotted kiwi). RNAcentral describes it as "lncRNA (ENSAOWG00000015127.1)". Lineage: Eukaryota; Metazoa; Chordata; Aves; Apterygiformes; Apterygidae. The record is from RNAcentral.